AGGACGAACGCUGGCGGCGUGCUUAACACAUGCAAGUCGAACGAUGAUGCCCAGCUUGCUGGGUGGAUUAGUGGCGAACGGGUGAGUAACACGUGAGUAACCUGCCCCUGACUCUGGGAUAAGCGUUGGAAACGACGUCUAAUACUGGAUAUGAUCGCCGGCCGCAUGGUCUGGUGGUGGAAAGAUUUUUUGGUUGGGGAUGGACUCGCGGCCUAUCAGCUUGUUGGUGAGGUAAUGGCUCACCAAGGCGACGACGGGUAGCCGGCCUGAGAGGGUGACCGGCCACACUGGGACUGAGACACGGCCCAGACUCCUACGGGAGGCAGCAGUGGGGAAUAUUGCACAAUGGGCGAAAGCCUGAUGCAGCAACGCCGCGUGAGGGAUGACGGCCUUCGGGUUGUAAACCUCUUUUAGUAGGGAAGAAGCGAAAGUGACGGUACCUGCAGAAAAAGCACCGGCUAACUACGUGCCAGCAGCCGCGGUAAUACGUAGGGUGCAAGCGUUGUCCGGAAUUAUUGGGCGUAAAGAGCUCGUAGGCGGUUUGUCGCGUCUGCUGUGAAAUCCCGAGGCUCAACCUCGGGCUUGCAGUGGGUACGGGCAGACUAGAGUGCGGUAGGGGAGAUUGGAAUUCCUGGUGUAGCGGUGGAAUGCGCAGAUAUCAGGAGGAACACCGAUGGCGAAGGCAGAUCUCUGGGCCGUAACUGACGCUGAGGAGCGAAAGCAUGGGGAGCGAACAGGAUUAGAUACCCUGGUAGUCCAUGCCGUAAACGUUGGGCGCU
Molecule: ribosomal RNA, 779 nt
Filed under: Curtobacterium sp.
Lineage: Bacteria; Bacillati; Actinomycetota; Actinomycetes; Micrococcales; Microbacteriaceae
Description: bacterial SSU rRNA
Rfam family: Bacterial small subunit ribosomal RNA
Source: RNAcentral